GAUGAACGCUGGCGGCGUGCCUAAUACAUGCAAGUCGAGCGAACAGACGAGGAGCUUGCUCCUUUGACGUUAGCGGCGGACGGGUGAGUAACACGUGGAUAACCUACCUAUGAGACUGGGAUAACUUCGGGAAACCGGAGCUAAUACCGGAUAACAUGUUGAACCGCAUGGUUCAACAGUGAAAGACGGUCUUGCUGUCACUUAUAGAUGGAUCCGCGCCGCAUUAGCUAGUUGGUAAGGUAACGGCUUACCAAGGCAACGAUGCGUAGCCGACCUGAGAGGGUGAUCGGCCACACUGGAACUGAGACACGGUCCAGACUCCUACGGGAGGCAGCAGUAGGGAAUCUUCCGCAAUGGGCGAAAGCCUGACGGAGCAACGCCGCGUGAGUGAAGAAGGUCUUCGGAUCGUAAAACUCUGUUAUUAGGGAAGAACAAAUGUGUAAGUAACUAUGCACGUCUUGACGGUACCUAAUCAGAAAGCCACGGCUAACUACGUG
RNAcentral lists this ribosomal RNA (497 nucleotides) under uncultured bacterium. RNAcentral's name for it is "partial 16S ribosomal RNA". It matches the Rfam family "Bacterial small subunit ribosomal RNA", at positions 28 to 507 of the family's 1533-position model. The record is from RNAcentral.